GACUGUGGAUAGCUCAGGCGGUAGAGCAUAUGGCUUAAUCUCAGGGUUGUGGGUUCAAGCCCCACGUUGGGCA
Non-coding RNA from Podarcis lilfordi (Lilford's wall lizard), 73 nucleotides. The record is from the annotation of a GenBank genome assembly. Lineage: Eukaryota; Metazoa; Chordata; Lepidosauria; Squamata; Lacertidae.